CGUAGGGUGGCGAGCGUUAAUCGGAAUUACUGGGCGUAAAGCGUGCGCAGGCGGUUAUGCAAGACAGAUGUGAGAUCCCCGGGCUCAACCUGGGAACUGCAUUUGUGACUGCAUAGCUAGAGUACGGUAGAGGGGGAUGGAAUUCCGCGUGUAGCAGUGAAAUGCGUAGAUAUGCGGAGGAACACCGAUGGCGAAGGCAAUCCCCCUGGACCUGUACUGACGCUCAUGCACGAAAGCGUGGGGAGCAAACAGGAUUAGAUACCCUGGUAGUCCACGCCCUAAACGACGUCAACUGGUUGUUGGGUCUUCACUGACUCAGUAACGAAGCUAACGCGUGAAGUUGACCGCCUGGGGAGUACGGCCGCAAGGUUG
Molecule: ribosomal RNA, 372 nt
Filed under: uncultured organism
Description: bacterial SSU rRNA
Rfam family: Bacterial small subunit ribosomal RNA
Source: RNAcentral